Molecule: unclassified non-coding RNA, 289 nt
Organism: Pongo abelii (Sumatran orangutan)
Lineage: Eukaryota; Metazoa; Chordata; Mammalia; Primates; Hominidae
Rfam family: Metazoan signal recognition particle RNA
About the family: The signal recognition particle (SRP) is a universally conserved ribonucleoprotein. It is involved in the co-translational targeting of proteins to membranes.
Source: Ensembl
GCUGGGCACGGUGGCAUGUGCCUGUAGUCCCAAUUACUCAAGAGGCUGAAGCAAGAGGAUCGCUUGAGCCCAGGAGUUCUGGGUUGUAUGCUGAUUGGAUGCCCACACUAAGUUCAUCACUAUGAUGACUUCCCAGGAACGAGGGACCACCAAGUUGCCUAAGGAGGGGUGAACUGGUCCAGGUCAGAAAUGGAGCAGGUCAAAACUCCUCUGCUGUUCAGUAGUGGAAAGGCACCUGUGAAUAGCCACUGCACUCCAGCCUGGGCCACAUAAUGAGACCCUGUCUCUU